AAGUCGUAACAAGGUUUCCGUAGGUGAACCUGCGGAAGGAUCAUUAACAAUUUUACUUUCCACAAAAAGUGAUGGGCUCGGAUUUCUGAGCUCCAUCCUUUUACCCCUUAAUAAGCGAACUUGUUAUUACCAUUUUCGAGAUUGAAGGAAUAAUAGGCGGUAGCUUAUGCUGCAGCUGUUCUUCCUUCAUUCUUUUUUCUUUUUCCUUUUUAACCCAAUGAAUCCUAAUUUGACUGAAUCUUGUCUUUUUUCUUUGGUUUAACCACCAAAGCAAAGGACACAAAACGUUAAUGAAAAAACAACUCUUAACAACGGAUAUCUUGGCUCUC
RNAcentral lists this unclassified non-coding RNA (329 nucleotides) under fungal sp. Its description in RNAcentral is "partial internal transcribed spacer region". The stretch from base 1 to 46 matches the Rfam family "Eukaryotic small subunit ribosomal RNA", at positions 1786 to 1831 of the family's 1831-position model. Lineage: Eukaryota; Fungi. The record is from RNAcentral.